RNAcentral lists this unclassified non-coding RNA (336 nucleotides) under soil metagenome. RNAcentral's name for it is "partial contains 5.8S ribosomal RNA, internal transcribed spacer 2, and large subunit ribosomal RNA". The stretch from base 1 to 120 matches the Rfam family "5.8S ribosomal RNA", at positions 35 to 154 of the family's 154-position model. The record is from RNAcentral.
GAUGAAGAACGUAGUGAAAUGCGAUAAGUAAUGUGAAUUGCAGAAUUCAGUGAAUCAUCGAAUCUUUGAACGCCCAUUGCGCCCGCCAGUAUUCUGGCGGGCAUGCCUGUUCGAGCGUCAUUUCAACCAUCAAGCCCCCGGCUUGUGUUGGGGACCUGCGGCUGCCGCAGGCCCUGAAAAGCAGUGGCGGGCUCGCUGUCACACCGAGCGUAGUAGCAUACAUCUCGAUCUGGGCGUGCUGCGGGUUCCGGCCGUUAAACCACCUUCAUAACCCAAGGUUGACCUCGGAUCAGGUAGGAAGACCCGCUGAACUUAAGCAUAUCAAUAAGCGGAGGA